This 433-nucleotide ribosomal RNA is filed under the name uncultured bacterium. RNAcentral's name for it is "partial 16S ribosomal RNA". It matches the Rfam family "Bacterial small subunit ribosomal RNA", at positions 29 to 507 of the family's 1533-position model. The record is from RNAcentral.
AACGAACGCUGGCGGCAGGCCUAACACAUGCAAGUCGAGCGAGACCUUCGGGUCUAGCGGCGGACGGGUGAGUAACGCGUGGGAACGUGCCCUUUUCUACGGAAUAGCCUCGGGAAACUGAGCGUAAUACCGUAUACGCCCUUUGGGGGAAAGAUUUAUCGGAGAAGGAUCGGCCCGCGUUGGAUUAGGUAGUUGGUGGGGUAAUGGCCUACCAAGCCUACGAUCCAUAGCUGGUUUGAGAGGAUGAUCAGCCACACUGGGACUGAGACACGGCCCAGACUCCUACGGGAGGCAGCAGUGGGGAAUCUUAGACAAUGGGGGCAACCCUGAUCUAGCCAUGCCGCGUGAGUGAUGAAGGCCUUAGGGUUGUAAAGCUUUUUCAGCUGGGAAGAUAAUGACGGUACCAGCAGAAGAAGCCCCGGCUAACUCCGUG